GAUGAACGCUAGCGGCAGGCUUAAUACAUGCAAGUUGAGGGGCAGCAUGAUAUACGCGAGUAUAUUGAUGGCGACCGGCGGACGGGUGAGUAAUAGGUAGGAGACCUACCUCAUACAGGGGGAUAGCAUAGAGAAAUCUGUGGUAAUACCCCAUGAGGUUAUAUGAAUAGAGGCAUAUAAUCAAAGCAUAAGCGAUUAUGCGGUAUGAGAGGGGCCUACUGACCAUUAGCUAGUUGGUGAGGUAAGGGUUCACCAAGGCGAAGAUGGUUAGGGGUUUUGAGAGAGAGACCCCCCACAUUGGAACUGAGAGACGGUCCAGACUCCUACGGGAGGCAGCAGUAGGGAAUAUUGGGCAAUGGGCAAAGCCUGACCCAGCCAUGCCGCGUGAAGGAAGACGGCCUUAUGGGUUGUAAACUUCUUUACUACGCGAAUAGAGGUUAGUACGAGAUACUAAUAGGAAGGUAGUGUAGUAAAAGCACCGGCUAACUCCGUGCC
Molecule: ribosomal RNA, 495 nt
Filed under: uncultured bacterium
Lineage: Bacteria
Description: bacterial SSU rRNA
Rfam family: Bacterial small subunit ribosomal RNA
Source: RNAcentral